CGUGGGGUGCAAGCGUUAUCCGGAAUUAUUGGGCGUAAAGAGAUGCGUAGGUGGUCAGUAAAGUUUCUGGUGAAAUCCUCAGGCUCAACCUGGGAACUGCCAAGAAUACUCACUGACUUAGAGGGGAUCAGGGGGUGCUGGAACUCGUGGUGUAGUAGUAAAAUGCGUUGAUAUCACGAGGAACACCAAAGGCGAAGGCAGGCACCUGGGAUUCUCCUGACACUGAGGCUCGAAAGCGUGGGGAGCGAAACGGAUUAGAUACCCGUGUAGUCCACGCCGUAAACGAUGGAUACUAGAUGCUUGGGGUAUUGACCCCCUGGGCGUCGUAAGCUAACGCGUUAAGUAUCCCGCCUGGGGAGUACGGUCGCAAGACUA
RNAcentral lists this ribosomal RNA (375 nucleotides) under uncultured organism. Its description in RNAcentral is "bacterial SSU rRNA". It matches the Rfam family "Bacterial small subunit ribosomal RNA", at positions 526 to 896 of the family's 1533-position model. The record is from RNAcentral.